UGGGGAAUAUUGCACAAUGGGCGCAAGCCUGAUGCAGCCAUGCCGCGUGUGUGAAGAAGGCCUUCGGGUUGUAAAGCACUUUCAGCGAGGAGGAAGGCAGUCGUGUUAAUAGCACGGUUGAUUGACGUUACUCGCAGAAGAAGCACCGGCUAACUCCGUGCCAGCAGCCGCGGUAAUACGGAGGGUGCAAGCGUUAAUCGGAAUUACUGGGCGUAAAGCGCACGCAGGCGGUUUGUUAAGUCAGAUGUGAAAUCCCCGCGCUUAACGUGGGAACUGCAUUUGAAACUGGCAAGCUAGAGUCUUGUAGAGGGGGGUAGAAUUCCAGGUGUAGCGGUGAAAUGCGUAGAGAUCUGGAGGAAUACCGGUGGCGAAGGCGGCCCCCCUGGACAAAAGACUGACGCUCAGGUGCGAAAGC
Molecule: ribosomal RNA, 415 nt
Filed under: uncultured bacterium
Lineage: Bacteria
Description: partial 16S ribosomal RNA
Rfam family: Bacterial small subunit ribosomal RNA
Source: RNAcentral